UUUACCAUCACUUUACAGCCUGUAUUAUUCUGUGUCGUCUUGUUGUUGACCCCUUUAUUGAAUAUCCAUGCAAAAGUCCUGCACGCUUGCAAGAUAUUAAACUCUCUGCUUCUUUUGUUGACCUCAAAGAUAAAAAUAAGCAACAUUUUCAUUUAAAAACAUGUACAGAAGCUAACUUUGGGCAGCCAUGUUAAAAAAAAACAUCGGAUAAUAAUAACGAGUUUAAAGUCUUUAUGAUCCAACGGUGGACAGAAGCCCAUUAGAACGGAGGAGAGGGUCACUGUAAUGGAUGUAAUAACCGCUCUCAUCCCAUAAAAAACACUCCUCAAAUAAACCUGACGUCGCCUCCUAAAUAUGGAUGAGUCUGUCUGCGUGCUGUCAUUACGCUAACGUCUAAUAUCUCCCUGUCCUCGGCUGAAUAACCUAACAACACUCCGGCUCCGCAGACGCGCAGUUUAUCGUAAUUGAGGCUGAAUUUUGACGACUCCUCCGCAGGCCGGUCACUUCCAGGGGCGAUUGUUUUCGUAAUGAGCUCCACUCGGCUCUCCUUCUCAAUUAUGCUAAUGGAGGACGGAGCGGGAGGAUGGAAGACGGCGUGUUGGAGGGAGGAAGUAUAUUAAACCACGGAGGGGGGAGGCAAGGGGUGAAGACGACGUGGUCAAGAGAGGAGAGAGGACGGUACUCAGGCGGGAGGGAGGGAAGCUAUUUAAAGAGUCGGGGCAUGAAACUGGAUAACAAGAGUACAUUAAGGACGUUAUUGUGCUCCUAUGGGCGCUGUGGCCGCUAACACUGCAACGGCCAGAUGCAGAGGAAAUUAACUUCAGCACUUCUAAAGUUCCCCCUGCAGGUGCUCAGAGAGAAAAGUUAUCUCAGCCUCUGCACAGAAUUCAGACGAGCACAGAGAACAUCAAACGGUCCUCCUACAGGCCAACGCUCACCACACGGCUCACAGAGUGGACUUUCUAUGAAACCAUCCUGUCUGAUGCUAAUGAUGUAGAGAUGCUGCUACAGUCGCUGUUUAAAUAUUGAAAACAGACAGUGUGAAUUAUGUCUUUGAUAGUUUAUGACCUAUUAUUGAUGAAUAUGAAACAGAGAACUGUCAAAGAGAAGGUUUAGUUUAACUCAGAUUUUGUAUAAAAUGACAAAAACAUCUCUGAAAUGACUAAGAAUUUGUCCAAAAUGGCCCAAAACCUGUCCAAACUGUCUCAGUUUUGUCCAACAUAAUCAAUAAAUGUGUCCUAAAUUACUCAAAAUUUGGCUAAAAUGACAGAAACAUCUCUAAAAUGACUCCAAAUUUGUACAAAAUGACUGAAAAUGUAUCCAAAACUAUCAAAAUGUUCUCUAAAAUUACUCAAGUGAAAAGACUUCACAUUUUGCCUCCACCAAAUUUGUCCAAAAUGACCCAAAUCUAAUCUAAGACAACAAAAAAUGUCGCGAAAAUGACUCCAAAUUGUCCAGAUUGGCCCAAAAUCUGUCCAAAUUGAUUCAAUUUUUGUCCUAAAUCAUCAAAAAAAUUGUCCCAAAUUACUCAAAAUUUGGCUAGAAUGACAAACAUCUCUAAAAGGAUUCCAAAUUUGUCCAGAAUUACAAAAAAUGUAUCCAAAAUGAUUAAAAGGUUCUGGAAAAUGACUCAAGUGAAAAGACUUCAUGUUUUCCCUCAAAAAAAUAUGUCCAAAAUGACCCAAUUCUUGUCAAAAAUGACAAAAAUGUCUCCAAUUUGUCCAAAAUGGCCCCAAAUCUGUCCAAACAGACUACAUUUUUGUUGUAACUAUCAAAAAAUUUGUCCUUAAUUAUUUAAAAUUUGUCCAAAAUGACAAAAAAAAUUGUCCAAAAUUUAUAAAAUUGUAUCCAAAAAGAUCAAAAAUUUCUGUAAAAUGACUCAAGUGAAGGGAAGUCAAGUUUUCCCUCAACCAAAUUUGCCCAAAAUUCUUAUCAAAAAUGACAAAAAAAUGUCUUUGAAAUGACUCCAAAUGUGUCCAAAAACCCAUCCAGGUUGUUUCUGUGAUGCUAAAUGUGCAGAGAUGCUGCUAAAGUCGCUGUUUUAGCAGCAACUGUCAGGUGAAAAUGAGGAAACAAUCUGUAAACACAAUGAGUGAAUCAUGACUUUGAUAGUUUAUUACCUAUUAUUGAUGAAUAUGGAGCAGAAAAGUUUCAAAGAGAAGGUUUAGUUGAACUCAAAAUGUGUCUAAAAUGACAAAAAGCAUCUCUAAAUUAGUCAGAAACCACCACAUAAUGAGAUAAAUCAAUAAGCUUCCAACACGGUGACGUAAAAUGCUUCGUUAAUAGAAAAACAUUAUUGAAUCGGUGCUCAGAUUCCCAGAGAUAAGUUGUGAAAUGAGCACUGAGAGGAGUUUCCAGCUGAAAACUGUAAUAAUCUGCAGACAGAGAUGUAAACACCAGAGGCAGAGUGUUCCAACUAACCUGCAGUCGUUUCCACAAAACCAAUUUCAACGCGGGAAUUUGUCUUUCUAAUUACGACGGUAAUCACGCGUCGCUUUCCCCAACAAAGUCCAAACGCCUGUGACCUGAGAGAACACGGCUAACGAGCAGCCGUGAUGAAGCGAGGCCUUCCAGCGCUCGUUAGGAACGACACAAACUGCAGAGAGCUCUAAUUAACGGCACGGCUGCUGCAGCACGACGCAAGGAAACAGAAACCAUCGGGGUCCGCCAAAUGUGCACCUCAACGUCUUUUCCGUCUUUUGUCGUUUUGUGUCUUCUUUUUGUCAUCGUGUUUUGUUACUGUCGUUUUAUGUCUUGCUUUUGUCGUUUUCUGUUUCGUUUAUCAUUUUGUGUUUUGUUUUUGUCGUUUUGUGUCUUCUUUUUGUUGUUUUUUUGUCUUGUUUUGGUCAUUGUGUGUUUUGUUUUUGUCGUGUUUUAAAUCUGUCCAAACUGACUCAAUUUGUGUCCUAAAUAAUCAAAAAUGUGUCCUAAAUUACUCAAAAUUUGUCUAAAAUGACGAAAACGUCUCUAAAAUUACUCGGGCUGGACCUGAAUAUCCAAAUAUUCGGUUGUUGUGGUGGUAUCUGAAUAUUAAUUUUACGAUCCAAAUACUCAGCUUACCAAUUCUUGUUGAAAAUUACCAAAACGUCUUAAAGAUGACUCCUAAUUUGUACAAACUGGCCCACAACCUGUCCAAAUUGACGAACACAUCUUUAAAACAACCAAGAAUUUGUCCAAAAUUACUACAAAUGUACCCAAAAUUUUCAAAAAGUCAAGUUUUCAUUCAACCAAAUGUGUCCAUAAUGACUCAAUUCUUGUCUAAAAUGACAAAAAUGUCCCUUAAAUGACUACACAUUUGUCCAAAAUGGGGCAAAACCUGUCCAAACUGACUCAGUGUUUGUCCUAAGUUGUCAAAAAAAUGUCCUAAAUUUGUCUAAAAUGACAAAAACCUGUCUAAUAUGACUAAAAACUGAUUUUAAAUUGUUCAAAAUUAGUCUAAAAUGACUAAAAAUGUAUCCAAAACGAUUAAAAAGUUUUGUAAAAUGACAAGUGCAGAGCAGUCAAGGUUUCCCAUAACCAGUUUUGUCAAAAUGACCCAAAACCUGUCCAAACUGAUUGAAUUUCUGUCCUAAAUGACUUAAAAUUUGUCUAAAAUGACUAAGAAUGUGUGCUAAUUUUGUCCUCCUGUUCUGGACUGACCCAUAUAGCCUGCAGUUUGAGACGGCGACACUAGAGGUGCAGCGAGUUCCUGGGAGUUGGACGGACGGCAUCGAUCCGUCUCCAGGCUGCUCUCAGAUCGACAGUCUGAUCUCCAGCCGGGACCGCUCCGUGAACCGGGCUGUGGCAGGCCGUUAGAACACCGUUAAAUUAAAGCAGCUCGGAGACGGGCCUCGUGAAUAAAACAGCAGCCCACUCCCCCGCUCAGGACUGAGUCACGCUGGGCGUAGGUGGACGGUCCCUGCAGACUCUCCCAUAAACACAGCUCCCCUCCCUGCUGAGUGAACCUCUGCAGUGUGUUGUGGGUAAACGUGGCGUGGUGCUUUCUGACCUUCUUGUGUGCGCUGAAGAUCCUCCUGAAGGUGUCCGGGUUCUUCUCGGCCGGCUUGCCCUGAGGCGGCCUCCUGGGACCGCUGGCCACCAUCCUCAGUCCUUCCUCUGAGAAGUCCAGGACGUCUGCAGACAAAAACGGACAAACGCAUCAAACGGGACGUUCCAGUCAGGCAGCUUCACCGCACUGGGAUUACUGGGAGCCAGAUUAUCUUGUGGAGACAUGACUGCACCCUGCAGUUGUUCUUUCUUUGCUUCUGAAUCAUUUUCUCUUCUGCAAUAGUCGACGUUUAAACAAGAGUUAUGUCUUAACCCUCGUGUCGUCCUGCAGGUCAAAUUAACCCGUUUUAAAGUUUGAACAUGUGGGACAAAAUAUGUUUUUAUCGUGAAUCUUCUGAUGUCCACAUUUUCAUCAUUUUUGGGAAAUUUUUGAACAUUUUUAGUGAAAAAAGAGAUGUUUAAAAAGAUGUUUCUUGAGAACAUUCAAAAAAAAAUUUGACCAAAAGCCAGCGAAUUUUGCUGGAUUUCAGUAGAUUGUUUUGUGAAUGUUCUUAAAGAAAAUAUUAGAAUAUAUAUAUAUAUAUAUAAAACUUUAGAUUUUUUAGGAUUUUUUUUGAAGAUUUUUACUCAUUUUUUGAAAAUAUUUACAAGAACUGUCUUGCCAAAUUUGUUUGUCUUUUUUAAAUUAAACUUUUAAGGGAUUUUUUCAAGGAAACUUUGAAUUUUCUUCCUGAAGAUUUUGCAAAUUUUCAGAAAUUUGGGGAAUUUGGGGAUUUUUUUUCAGACAAGGAAACAAUAUUUUUUUGGUGCCAGUAGAUGAAGACAACAGAAGGGUUAACUACGACAGUAAAUUGUUUAAAAGUGCAACAAACUUCUACAAAUAUACUUGAAAAUACAGAAACUGCAUAGCUGUAUCCCUUAAAUUUGUUAAAAAAAAAGUUACACAACAUCCUGUGGACUGGUUUAUAAAGAUUUUUGUUAUGUGUGCUUUAUUGUGUAUUUUUACAAACCCAUCACUGCAACCAAAAAGUGUUCUGAGACCUGGUGAAUGUGUGACAUGUUCAUGGAACUCCUCAUAUUUUAUGUGUAAAAAGAAUGAUGGAUCUGCCUGGUCUGGUUUUAGAUCUACGGCCAAUCAGACAUGAGUAUGCAGUCAUAGUGGAGGGUUAAAAUCAAACUGCUCUGAAGCCAACUAUAGAUUCUGGAUGCUUUAUUUUAAGUUGUAAUCUUCCAAAUACUGUAAAAUGAAGCGGUUUGUGUGCUUGUGGCCUCCUGGUUUAACACCACUCUGAGGAUGAGCUCACAGGAACUGAAGCUGGAAACAGGGCGAGUGUUUGUUGUCAGUGUGGGUUCUGCUCUACGCUGGUGAGGAUAUCAGUGCCAGUGUGUGGGCUUUGUUUACAUGUACACACAAACACAAAGAACAUGACCCCUGCUCAUGUGUGCAACCAGAAACACAGCCCAGCUCCUCCGGCAGCCUCGUCACACUGAAUGGAGGACGUGGCUCCAGUGGAACCAGUUCGUCCAACACGUGAUGAAAGGCUCGGCUUCAGGAGGAAUGAAAAGUAUUUUAUCAGUACUGAACCUGUUCAUCAAAACCUUCUCAGAUCUGUUUAGAUUUAAUGGUUUAUGUUUCUUGUUCUGUGUUUGUUGGGUUGUUUUUGUGGUGGAACUACCAGAACUACAGUCCAGUUCUGGUGGGGCACAUUCAGCCGACGCACACUAAUAAAAAUGAGCAACCCGUGCUUGAA
This is a long non-coding RNA of Acanthochromis polyacanthus (spiny chromis), 5738 nucleotides long. RefSeq lists it as uncharacterized. The transcript is spliced from 2 exons. The record is from RefSeq and is a predicted model, not a curated record. NCBI's taxonomy places the organism in Eukaryota, Metazoa, Chordata, Actinopteri, Pomacentridae.